This 270-nucleotide ribosomal RNA is filed under the name uncultured bacterium. RNAcentral describes it as "partial 16S ribosomal RNA". It matches the Rfam family "Bacterial small subunit ribosomal RNA", at positions 524 to 794 of the family's 1533-position model. The record is from RNAcentral.
UACGGAGGGUGCGAGCGUUAAUCGGAAUUACUGGGCGUAAAGGGCGCGUAGGCGGCUGAUCAAGUCAGGUGUGAAAGCCCGGGGCUUAACCCCGGAGUGCAUUGGAAACUACCUGGCUUGAGUUCGGGAUAGGAGGGCAGAAUUCCCGGUGUAGGAGUGAAAUCCGUAGAUAUCGGGAGGAAAACCAGUGGCGAAAGCGGCCCUCUGGAACGAAACUGACGCUGAGGCGCGAAAGCGUGGGGAGCAAACAGGAUUAGAAACCCCGGUAGU